CUUGACCUCGGAUCAGGUAGGGAUACCCGCUGAACU
Molecule: ribosomal RNA, 36 nt
Filed under: Macrodiplodiopsis desmazieri
Lineage: Eukaryota; Fungi; Ascomycota; Dothideomycetes; Pleosporales
Description: partial 28S ribosomal RNA
Source: RNAcentral